UAAGUGCUCUCUGUUAGGAUGA
RNAcentral lists this microRNA (22 nucleotides) under Sarcophilus harrisii (Tasmanian devil). RNAcentral's name for it is "Sha-Mir-430-o29_3p (mature (co-guide))". The record is from RNAcentral. Lineage: Eukaryota; Metazoa; Chordata; Mammalia; Dasyuromorphia; Dasyuridae.